RNAcentral lists this unclassified non-coding RNA (2029 nucleotides) under Hevea brasiliensis (rubber tree). Lineage: Eukaryota; Viridiplantae; Streptophyta; Magnoliopsida; Malpighiales; Euphorbiaceae. The record is from RNAcentral.
UAAAAUCCUCAUAGCUUUGGGUGGGCUCACCAAGCUUCUCCACAAUGACUUGCUUUGCCUUCUCCUCAAUCUUGAAAACUAUAUACCGGUAUGUUCUUUUUGCCUUGAGCUCCAAGAACCUCAAUUUGCAGUCAUCAUGGACUGCCAUGCCAGAAGCAGCAUUGGCCUGAAAACCACAUUAACAUCAUUAAGACCAAGUUUUCAUUGCAAUUCCAAAAUCGACAACAUAUGCAGACUGUAUAUUGAAAAUGUAACAUGAAUAAUUGAAUAACCAUUGUGCACUAAAAAAUGCUCCAAGCGGAGAAAAGCAAUAACAAAAUUGCAAGCGAAACGAACGUAAAGUUAACUCCAAUACUGCAAUUGCGAUAACCUAGAUAUCACUUCUAUACAAUACUGACAUUGAUUGUCCACUUAAGUUAGCAUCACAACUUGGAUGAUCCACGAUAGAAGGAAUAAAAUGAUUUUUAACGAAUUUAUGCUUUAUUGUAGAUUGAAAAACAUAUUAACUGGAACCUCCUUCAGGGGUUUUAGAUUGAACAGGGUAGGACUUAUAGGACUUUCCCAUACCUUGCUAAAGCUAACAUUGUUGUCACACUCAACAGGUGCUUAGUUAGGUAGGUGGCUUUGGCUAUAAGGUUGGUACUAGUUAGCCUACCAUUUCUUUCUGUGAACUAAGACAAUCUGCAGGCUUUCCACUGUGGCAAAGCAUGCCCACAGUUUGAAGCUUGAAGUCACCUUCUUUAGAGGAAACACCACCAGUUAUUUUAACUACCCAGCUUAUUAGUAUUAGCAAGAUCUCAAUGAACAUAGAAGUGCUUUGUAGUUUAGGGCUUUACGCCCCUUUAAAUAUCAAGGAAGCAAACGAACUUACAAUUCAUCAAAAGAUAUCUGUACCCUUCAUUUGAUCAUAUGAUAAAUUGAACAAUGGAUAAGCAAAACAAAUGGCACAACAUAUCUUUACCCUUCAUUCUUGCCCAGUUUUUUUCUCCUUUUGGAAGACCAAGCAUCAGCCCACCUCAACAGACAAAUACAAACUAUUGGAUUUCAUUUAGAGACUUCGUUUGCUAUAUCAGGUUGUUAAGGAAGUCCGAUCGGGUGUUAAAAUUUUCAUUUCCUUAAUAACAAGUUUCCUAAUCAGCCAAACAGAAAACAUGAAUACACUAGGAACUCGUUGUAAGAGCCGAAACCAUCAAAAUAACGACCAGAUACCAACAUAAACAAACAAACAAACUCAUUGUGAAGUCAAACAAGCCGGAUCGACCAAGUUUAUGUGAAAUAAAAUUAGACAAAGUCCAAAAUUAAUAUCAUGUCAAAUUCAAACAAAUUUAACCGUCAUCACCAUCAACGAAACGACAAUUACAUCUCACAUGAACUCCAAAAGAAAGGUCUACACGCCAGCCAACAACGCUAAAUUGCUAAUCACUAUCGGCAGAUACAACUAUACCAAAUCCCUAACACAAGAUCCAUAACAGCUAUUAGAUUUAACAUCGAACCAAAAUCAGACCAGAUCUGCAAGCAAAAACGAAAAGCAAAUGAACAGUUGAUGAGCCAUAAAUGUGCACAGUUUUCACAAAGCCAACCAGAUUUAAACUUUAAAAACCAGAUCGAUGGCGGAUCAAACACCGAUUCCAGAAUAAGAGCAAGCUAAAUCAAACAACCUAAGUAAAAAAGCCGAUGAGGCAGCAGAGAUUUCGCAGGCAAAUAGAAAAGGAAGUGACGAGGAAGAUCAAAACCGUAGAACAGCAAAGAAAGAAGAACUCGAAGACUCACCAUUUUCUUGUUUUUCUUCAAUGUCAGGGUUUGGAUACAGUAGCCGCAGAGAGGAAAAAGAUAUUGACGCAGAAGCGAAUACAGAGACGAGCGUCUCUUCCGAUAACCAAAGCUGCGUGACAGGAUGUUCAAUUUAAUUAGGUGGCUCUAUGUCGGAAGGAAUUGAUAAAAUGUUUAUGUUGCAUUUGAGUUUUCAGUGUGAGGGAAUCUUGGUCCAAUCAAAUGAAGCCAUGUCAAGUCAGAGUCAGGAUAAUAAGAA